GAAGAUGCAGCACAAAUUGGCCCCUGUGGUGCUCACAUGAUUUCCUUGUGCUUUCCUAGGGUGGGAUGCAGCGUGGGAGUGCCGGGGUGUGGAGUUGCAGCUGGUGUUUCACGUUGCUGAACUAAAGCCUUGGUUGCACUCAGCAUUCAGAUGCUGGGGACACUGUGGUGACCUGACACAAGGUAGCAUAGAGAUGGCAUUGCCCUCAGCCUGCUAGCAACAGGAGGGUCGGGGUCCAUCCUCAGCAUGUGCAGGCUGCCCCUCGUCCGCAGCGGGAAUCAAACUGACGCUGCAUGUCUCUUAACAGUUUCAGGUUUUGCCUUGUCCCAUGUUUGGAUGUGAUGAUUUGGGUUGGCUCUGGCCACCUGCAAUACCCUGAGUUAUUAGAAAAUGUAAGGAGCUAUUCGUCAUCCCUGUUUCCUGUGUCCUUAACCUUUCUCUGUUUUUAGUUUCUCAGCAUUCAAGGGCUGAGCCAGUGCUCUUUAGUGAAGGACGUCUUUUUGUGGAUAUGAACAAUUUCUCCCCACUUCUCUUUCCCAUCUUGUCUCUAACGUGGAGGGAAGGGAGUGAUGUUUGUCCACAGCACCUUCGGCAACUAUCAUGACAUGUUUGCGAUCGUCACCGUCUUGUGCUAGACGCAUAGUCAUGAUGCAUAUUUGGCACAUUUGGUGCUCAA
RNAcentral lists this long non-coding RNA (676 nucleotides) under Homo sapiens (human). RNAcentral describes it as "HSALNT0082830". The record is from RNAcentral. Lineage: Eukaryota; Metazoa; Chordata; Mammalia; Primates; Hominidae.